UACGUAGGGGGCAAGCGUUGUCCGGAUUUAUUGGGCGUAAAGAGCGUGUAGGCGGCCAGACAGGUCCGUUGUGAAAACUCGAGGCUCAACCUCGAGACGUCGGUUGAAACCGUAAGGCUAGAGUCCGGAAGAGGAGAGUGGAAUUCCCGGUGUAGCGGUGAAAUGCGCAGAUAUCGGGAAGAACACCCGUGGCGAAGGCGGCUCUCUGGGACGGUACUGACGCUGAGACGCGAAAGCGUGGGGAGCGAACAGG
Molecule: ribosomal RNA, 253 nt
Filed under: uncultured bacterium
Lineage: Bacteria
Description: partial 16S ribosomal RNA
Rfam family: Bacterial small subunit ribosomal RNA
Source: RNAcentral